UAUUGGUGUGCGUGUUUCGUUUUUUGUUCUUUUUUUUUCUUUCUUUCUUUUUUUGUCCCCCAAGAGC
This 67-nucleotide non-coding RNA is filed under the name Chromera velia. Lineage: Eukaryota; Chromeraceae. The record is from RNAcentral.